GACGAACGUUGGCGGCGUGCUUAAUACAUGCAAGUCAACUGAAGCAGUGGUAGCAAUAUCGCUGUGGAGGUGGCGCACGGGUGAGUAACACGUAGGUAAUCUGCCUUCAGGUCUGGCAUAACUCCGGGAAACCGGGGCUAAUAGCAGAUGAUGCAGCGGCUCGACAUCGAGACAGUUGUUAAAGCUAUGGCGCCUGAAGAUGAGCCUGCGUCUGAUUAGCUAGUUGGCGGGGUAACGGCCCACCAAGGCAACGAUCAGUAGCUGGUCUGAGAGGAUGAUCAGCCACACUGGAACUGAGACACGGUCCAGACUCCUACGGGAGGCAGCAGUAAGGAAUAUUGCUCAAUGGGAGAAAUCCCGAAGCAGCAACGCCGCGUGAGGGACGAAGGGCUUUUGCUUGUAAACCUCUGUAGUGAGAGAAAAAAAUCCCAAUCUUUGGGACAUGAUGGUAUCUCAAAAGUAAGCCCCGGCUAACUACGUG
This 481-nucleotide ribosomal RNA is filed under the name uncultured bacterium. RNAcentral's name for it is "partial 16S ribosomal RNA". It matches the Rfam family "Bacterial small subunit ribosomal RNA", at positions 28 to 507 of the family's 1533-position model. The record is from RNAcentral.